Molecule: long non-coding RNA, 258 nt
Filed under: Erythranthe guttata (spotted monkey flower)
Lineage: Eukaryota; Viridiplantae; Streptophyta; Magnoliopsida; Lamiales; Phrymaceae
Description: long non-coding RNA (EGUT_LNC002699)
Source: RNAcentral
ACAGUGUUCUUUUGAGGGCCUAACUGCACACAAGAAGCUGGUGGGCUGUGGUGUCGGUCGAGUGUUCCUUCUUCCAUUGCUCUCACAAAUUCAAGAAUGUCGCCUUCGGUUGUUGCUCGGUAUAAUUGCGGAUCCAUAUUUUUUGCAGUUUCGUAAGUCUCCUCUUCUUCUAGCAAUCCUGGAUAUUUGGGUACAGACAUAGGUAGAUAAUGGGUUUUUUCAGUUACUUUACUCUCAUUCUUCCUUUAGAAAAUCAAG